This 250-nucleotide ribosomal RNA is filed under the name uncultured bacterium. RNAcentral describes it as "partial 16S ribosomal RNA". It matches the Rfam family "Bacterial small subunit ribosomal RNA", at positions 524 to 773 of the family's 1533-position model. The record is from RNAcentral.
UACGGAGGGGGCAAACGUUGUUCGGAAUUACUGGGCGUAAAGGGUGAGUAGGCGGUUCGAUAAGUCUUGCGUGAAAUCUCUCGGCUUACCCGGGAAACUGCGCUGGAAACUGUCGAGCUCGAGGAUGGAAGAGGCAGAUGGAAUUCCUGGUGUAGCGGUGGAAUGCGUAGAUAUCAGGAAGAACACUCGUGGCGAAGGCGGUCUGCUGGUCCAUCCCUGACGCUGAAUCACGAAAGCCAGGGGAGCAAAC